Molecule: ribosomal RNA, 250 nt
Filed under: uncultured bacterium
Lineage: Bacteria
Description: partial 16S ribosomal RNA
Rfam family: Bacterial small subunit ribosomal RNA
Source: RNAcentral
CACGUACUGUGCAAACGUUAUUCGGAAUCACUGGGCUUAAAGGGUAUGUAGGCGGCCAGUCAAGUCAGAUGUGAAAUGCCACAGCUCAACUGUGGCACUGCGUUUGAAACUGAUUGGCUAGAGUAUUCCAGAGGUAUGCGGAACUUAUGGUGGAGCGGUGAAAUGCGUUGAUAUCAUGGGGAACACCGGAGGCGAAGGCGGCAUACUGGGGGAUAACUGACGCUGAGAUACGAAAGCCAGGGUAGCGAAC